GAUGAACGCUGGCGGCGUGCCUAAUACAUGCAAGUCGAGCGAACAGACCAGGCACUUGCUCCUCUUACGUUAGCGGCGGACGUGUGAGUAACACGUGUAUAACCUACCUAUAAGACUGAGAUAACUUCGGGAAAGCGGAGCUAAUACCGGAUAAUAUAUUGAACCGCAUGGUUCAAUAGUAAGAGACGGUUUUUCUGUCACUUAUAGAUGGAUCUGCGCGGCAUUAGAUAGUUGGUAAGGUCACGGGUUACCAAGGCAACGAGUCGUAGACGACGUGAGAGGCGGAUAGGCCGCACGGGAACGGAACCGGGGUCCAGACUACUAAGGGACGCAGCAGUAUGGUAUGGUACGCAAUGGGCGGAAGUAUGACGCAGCAACGCCGAGUGAGUGACAGAGAUCUUGGGUUCGUAAUACUCUGUUAUUAGGGAAGAACAAAUGUGUAAGUAACUAUGCACGUCUUGACGGUACCUAAUAAGAAAGCAACGGCUAACUACGUG
This 497-nucleotide ribosomal RNA is filed under the name uncultured bacterium. Its description in RNAcentral is "partial 16S ribosomal RNA". It matches the Rfam family "Bacterial small subunit ribosomal RNA", at positions 28 to 507 of the family's 1533-position model. The record is from RNAcentral.